This 830-nucleotide ribosomal RNA is filed under the name Dicephalospora rufocornea. RNAcentral's name for it is "partial large subunit ribosomal RNA". It matches the Rfam family "Eukaryotic large subunit ribosomal RNA", at positions 97 to 944 of the family's 3401-position model. Lineage: Eukaryota; Fungi; Ascomycota; Leotiomycetes; Helotiales; Helotiaceae. The record is from RNAcentral.
AGCGGUAACAGCUCAAAUUUGAAAUCUGGCCCUUUUAGGGUCCGAGUUGUAAUUUGUAGAAGAUGCUUUGGGUGUGGCUCCGGUCUAAGUUCCUUGGAACAGGACGUCAUAGAGGGUGAGAAUCCCGUAUGUGACUGGCGGCCUUCGCCCGUGUAAAGCUCUUUCGACGAGUCGAGUUGUUUGGGAAUGCAGCUCUAAAUGGGAGGUAUAUUUCUUCUAAAGCUAAAUACUGGCCAGAGACCGAUAGCGCACAAGUAGAGUGAUCGAAAGAUGAAAAGCACUUUGGAAAGAGAGUUAAACAGUACGUGAAAUUGUUGAAAGGGAAGCGCUUGCAACCAGACUUGCGUGCCGUCGAUCAUCGUGGGUUCUCCCGCGUGCACUCGGCGGCGUUCAGGCCAGCAUCGGUUCCGGUGGUUGGAUAAAGGCCUUGGGAAUGUGGCUCCUCUCGGGGAGUGUUAUAGCCCUCGGUGCAAUGCAGCCUACUGGGACCGAGGACCGCGCUUCGGCUAGGAUGCUGGCGUAAUGGUUGUAAGCGACCCGUCUUGAAACACGGACCAAGGAGUCUAACAUCUAUGCGAGUGUUAGGGUGUUAAACCCUUCCGCGAAAUUAACGUGAACGGAGGUACGAACCCUUUAGGGCGCAGUAUCGACCGGUCCUGAUGUCUUCGGAUGGAUCUGAGUAAGAGCAUAGCUGUUGGGACCCGAAAGAUGGUGAACUAUGCCUGAAUAGGGUGAAGCCAGAGGAAACUCUGGUGGAGGCUCGCAGCGGUUCUGACGUGCAAAUCGAUCGUCAAAUUAGGGCAUAGGGGCGAAAGACUAAUCGAACCAUU